UAGAAAGUGGUGUAGAGGAAGCACUAAGAGUUUUGAGCUCUUCAGUAAGGGUUCAAGUCCCUUUUUUCUAA
This 71-nucleotide transfer RNA is filed under the name Enneapterygius etheostoma. RNAcentral's name for it is "tRNA-Gln". It matches the Rfam family "tRNA". From Rfam's summary of the family: Transfer RNA (tRNA) molecules are approximately 80 nucleotides in length. Their secondary structure includes four short double-helical elements and three loops (D, anti-codon, and T loops). Lineage: Eukaryota; Metazoa; Chordata; Actinopteri; Blenniiformes; Tripterygiidae. The record is from RNAcentral.